UACGGAGGAUCCAAGCGUUAUCCGGAAUCAUUGGGUUUAAAGGGUCCGUAGGCGGUUUAGUAAGUCAGUGGUGAAAGCCCAUCGCUCAACGGUGGAACGGCCAUUGAUACUGCUAGACUUGAAUUAUUGGGAAGUAACUAGAAUAUGUAGUGUAGCGGUGAAAUGCUUAGAGAUUACAUGGAAUACCAAUUGCGAAGGCAGGUUACUACCAAUAUAUUGACGCUGAUGGACGAAAGCGUGGGGAGCGAACAGG
Molecule: ribosomal RNA, 253 nt
Filed under: uncultured bacterium
Lineage: Bacteria
Description: partial 16S ribosomal RNA
Rfam family: Bacterial small subunit ribosomal RNA
Source: RNAcentral